AACUUUAUCAAAUCAAAUACUAGACAUCGUGUCUUAAUGAACUUCCCAACGGACAAGAGAGAUGCCAUAUUCUGGGAUCUGGAGGGAAAACAUAACUUGAGGAACAGAAACAGAAAUGACUGCCAAAUCCUGCUCUGGAAGAAUUCCAUUGAAAUAUAUCAUAAAAAUAAAAAAAUCAGUUAAUCGACAUGCAGAUAUGAUAUAACCCAU
Molecule: unclassified non-coding RNA, 210 nt
Filed under: Hevea brasiliensis (rubber tree)
Lineage: Eukaryota; Viridiplantae; Streptophyta; Magnoliopsida; Malpighiales; Euphorbiaceae
Source: RNAcentral